Long non-coding RNA from Bos taurus (domestic cattle), 1698 nucleotides. NCBI's taxonomy places the organism in Eukaryota, Metazoa, Chordata, Mammalia, Artiodactyla, Bovidae. The record is from Ensembl.
CUUCAAGGCAGAUUAACUGCCGACCAGCAGAAAUACAAUGUGACUAGAGAUGUAAUAUUAAUAUUCUAGUAGUUAUAUCAAGAAGUAAGAAGAAAUAGCACAUCUCAAAACUAGCUACAUCUCAAGCGUUCAGUGACUAAUUCUGGCUAGUGGCUACUGCAUUGGACAGCACAGGUCUGGACACAGUCUUUACCUGUUUUACUGGCACAUGGAAUUCACUGGGAUGAAUAGUCCAGAAGCCCACUAAGUUUUUGCAGCUGAUAUAUUGCCAAAGACACUCCAAAUCUGGCUGUAACUACUUCCAGCUGUUCAACACUUAAAUCUCUAAUUUGCAACUCCCACCAAUAAGGACACAGCAACAAACCAUGCAGCUCCCAAGAAAGACAUACCCACCCAUACAUAGCAGCAUGGCACAGUAUGCCAGUGAAAGACAAUGAACAACCAUGUUACUCCUGGAGAUCAGAACCAGAGGCUGCCAGACUAACAAACUUACUCCAUCUGCCAAGGUAGGGCACCCUCACUAAUCCUGCCAGGCAGGAUGGUGAAGUGUUUGCAGAAAUGGCUGCAAAAAUGUGCACCCCCCAUCCCAAGUAUUCAUGACCCUUAUGUAGACCCCUUCCUACACAUGGGGCUUGACCAUAUGGUUGCUUUGACUGAUGAGACAAUAGCAAACACAACACAGAGAUUUGGAAAGUGCUUAUUGCUUAUCCUCUUUCUUUCUGCUUCUGGAAACUCUGAGACCACCGUCUUGUGAUUGAGUGGGAGCUGGACUACUAGAUGAGAAGAGAUAUGGCCCAGCUAGCCUCAUCACUCUCUGCAAAACUCAACCAACUGCAAGCUGUACACGAGGCCAUAGCCUGCCGGUUGAUCCUGGGGCCACAGGGCUUCUCAAACUCCAGGAUGCAUCAGAGUCACAGGGAGAUACACAGUGGUAGAUCCAACCCAGAGCUUCUUUCUUUUUGCACCAACAGCAUUUGUUUCACCCUGCUAGAUGCUGGAGGAGAUUUUUUAAAAAAGAACUUAUUUCAUUCUUAACAUCAACAGACUUACCAAUAGGGGAUAUAAGCUUUGGGAUGUUGCCCAGUCAGUAAUUUUCACAUCCAACGAGUUCUGUGGUGACACUGCUGUUGCUGGAGUAAGAACUGCACUUUGAGAAACAUCGGUCUACUGGAUGUGUUGGAGACAGUUAGCUUGCCUUGAAACUCCAGGAUUCUGGUCCACGAGGAACCAUUUCAGUUCUGAAAGAGAAGACUGCAUAGUCCCAGAGGUCCUGGACGCAGAGGAGCUGGAGGGCAGAGCUGCAUAAUCUUGGGGUUGUCUUCCUUUGAGGGACAGAUGAGAUUUCAUGUAAAUGAGCUCUGUGUGUGUGUGUUCAGUUGUGUCUGACUCUUUGCGACAUCCUGGACUGUAGUCCGCCAGUCCAUGGAAUUUUCCAAGCAAGAAUACUGGAGUGGGUAGCUGUUUCCUACUCCAGGGGAUCUUCCCAACCCAGGGAUUGAACCCGUGUCUCUUGCAUCUCCUGCAUUGGCAGGCAAAGAUUCUUUACCACUAUCACCAUUUGGGAAGCCCUGUAAAUGAAUUCUACAUAUUUUUAAUUGUUUAUAAUGGAAUAAACGUUUGUUGCAGUUGAGUGGGCCACGGCGGAGGGCGUGAACUGUCUACCCAAAGCCCAUUUCCUUUCCUUUCUACUUUGUCUAG